AUGUGUGACAUCCGUUCGUGCUUGAACACACUACAGUUUCUCAACAAGAAGAAUCAAACCCUCAAUGUGUUUGAGAUCAGUUCCCAAGUGGUAGGUCAAAAGGACAUGUCUAGAAGCAUCUUUGAUAUCUAGAAAGAGAUUUUUCAGAACAGAAAAAUGAAGUGAG
Molecule: long non-coding RNA, 166 nt
Organism: Vitis vinifera (wine grape)
Lineage: Eukaryota; Viridiplantae; Streptophyta; Magnoliopsida; Vitales; Vitaceae
Exons: 3
Source: RefSeq, a predicted model, not a curated record